ACGGGAGGCAGCAGUGAGGAAUAUUGGUCAAUGGACGAGAGUCUGAACCAGCCAAGUAGCGUGCAGGAUGACGGCCCUAUGGGUUGUAAACUGCUUUUGUACGGGAAUAAAGUGACCUACGUGUAGGUUUUUGCAUGUACCGUAAGAAUAAGGACCGGCUAAUUCCGUGCCAGCAGCCGCGGUAAUACGGAAGGUCCGGGCGUUAUCCGGAUUUAUUGGGUUUAAAGGGUGCGUAGGCGGGAUGUUAAGUCAGCGGUGAAAGCGUGUAGCUCAACUAUACCAAGCCGUUGAAACUGGCGUUCUUGAGUGUAAACGAGGUAGGCGGAAUGUGACGUGUAGCGGUGAAAUGCUUAGAUAUGUCGCAGAACCCCGAUUGCGAAGGCAGCUUACCAGCAUACAACUGACGCCGAGGCACGAAAGUGCGGGGAUCAAACAGGAUUAGAUACCCUGGUA
This 453-nucleotide ribosomal RNA is filed under the name uncultured Porphyromonadaceae bacterium. RNAcentral describes it as "bacterial SSU rRNA". It matches the Rfam family "Bacterial small subunit ribosomal RNA", at positions 341 to 792 of the family's 1533-position model. The record is from RNAcentral. Lineage: Bacteria; Pseudomonadati; Bacteroidota; Bacteroidia; Bacteroidales; Porphyromonadaceae.